UGAUCAUGGCUCAGAUUGAACGCUGGCGGCAGGCCUAACACAUGCAAGUCGAGCGGUAGCGGGAAGAGCUUGCUCUUUGCCGACGAGCGGCGGACGGGUGCGUAACACGUAGGAAUCUGCCCGGUAGUGGGGGAUAGCCCGGAGAAAUCCGGAUUAAUACCGCAUACGCCCUAAGGGGGAAAGCAGGGGAUCUUCGGACCUUGCGCUAUCGGAUGAGCCUGCGUCGGAUUAGCUUGUUGGUGGGGUAAAGGCCUACCAAGGCGACGAUCCGUAGCUGGUCUGAGAGGAUGAUCAGCCACACUGGGACUGAGACACGGCCCAGACUCCUACGGGAGGCAGCAGGAA
Molecule: ribosomal RNA, 345 nt
Filed under: uncultured Endozoicomonas sp.
Lineage: Bacteria; Pseudomonadati; Pseudomonadota; Gammaproteobacteria; Oceanospirillales; Endozoicomonadaceae
Description: bacterial SSU rRNA
Rfam family: Bacterial small subunit ribosomal RNA
Source: RNAcentral